This 1034-nucleotide long non-coding RNA is filed under the name Marmota monax (woodchuck). The record is from RNAcentral. Lineage: Eukaryota; Metazoa; Chordata; Mammalia; Rodentia; Sciuridae.
AAAAUUCUAGGGUUUUCUAAUGUCAUGGGAGCAAAAUACAAAGUCCUUAUUGGGACCUUCAUGGCAGUUUAUGACUAAACUUUAUUCUAACCUUCUGUUCCCAGACCAUGUAAUUUUUAAUCCUGCCCUCAUGUUCCAGCCACAUUGUAGUGCUUUUCCCUUCAACAGAGAGGGUUUUUCACACCCUUUGUCUUACAUAUGUUAUUGUUUAGUUUAUCACCUUUUUCCUGAAAAAUAUCAUAACCUUCAAAUCCCAUCAAGUUUUAAUAUAACCUAUCCUGGAAUAUUUCCCCAACCUCUGCUAUCCAAGGUAAUGGAUUGCUCCUAUAUGUUCCUUCUAUGGAUGUCUAUUCAUGUGUGGAUAAAUUUGUAAGGCGGGCUAACAAACGGAAAAAUUGGGUGCAGGAGCUGAAGCUGCAAUCUAGAGGUGGGAGUUCUUUUUUAGAGAAACCUCAGCUUUGCUCUUAUGACUUUCAACUGAUUGGAAGAGGUCCACCCAGGUUAUUGAUGAUGAUCUCUUUACUUAACAUCAUCUGACUACAGAUGUUAACCACAUCUAGAAAACACCUUUAAAAUGACACUUAGAUAAGUUGUAAUGGAAUAACUAGGUACUAUAGACUAAUCAAGUGUUCAACAGCCACUGCAGAAAGAUAUAAUUAUUACUAUCCAUUGGAAGCAAGCUGUAAGAUAUCUGGAAGUAGCUCUAGCAGAGAGAUAUUACUGUGGAAUCAUACAGACCUUGUUACUUUAAUUUUUUUUCUUUAUUGGUCUCAUACAUUAGCUAUUAAACAGGUAGAAGAUACUAGGAUAAUCAGUGUGUGUGUUUAAUAACAAAGGUUCAAAUAAUAUAAAAUAAAAUUAACAUCAUUAAAUGGAAAAAACAUACAAUUCUACAUAGUUGGAGAUUUUAACACUGUAUUGUAGAAAUUGAUAAACAAUUAGACAAACAAAAAACCAAUAAAGAUAUAAAUGAUCUAAACAAUAAAAUCAAAUCACUUGACCUACCUGAUAUUUAUUUUUAAGAAAAUACUAAA